This 682-nucleotide ribosomal RNA is filed under the name Stutzerimonas stutzeri. RNAcentral's name for it is "bacterial SSU rRNA". It matches the Rfam family "Bacterial small subunit ribosomal RNA", at positions 82 to 760 of the family's 1533-position model. Lineage: Bacteria; Pseudomonadati; Pseudomonadota; Gammaproteobacteria; Pseudomonadales; Pseudomonadaceae. The record is from RNAcentral.
GCUCCCUGAUUCAGCGGCGGACGGGUGAGUAAUGCCUAGGAAUCUGCCUGGUAGUGGGGGACAACGUUUCGAAAGGAACGCUAAUACCGCAUACGUCCUACGGGAGAAAGCAGGGGACCUUCGGGCCUUGCGCUAUCAGAUGAGCCUAGGUCGGAUUAGCUAGUUGGUGAGGUAAUGGCUCACCAAGGCUGCGAUCCGUAACUGGUCUGAGAGGAUGAUCAGUCACACUGGAACUGAGACACGGUCCAGACUCCUACGGGAGGCAGCAGUGGGGAAUAUUGGACAAUGGGCGAAAGCCUGAUCCAGCCAUGCCGCGUGUGUGAAGAAGGUCUUCGGAUUGUAAAGCACUUUAAGUUGGGAGGAAGGGCAGUAAGUUAAUACCUUGCUGUUUUGACGUUACCGACAGAAUAAGCACCGGCUAACUUCGUGCCAGCAGCCGCGGUAAUACGAAGGGUGCAAGCGUUAAUCGGAAUUACUGGGCGUAAAGCGCGCGUAGGUGGUUUGUUAAGUUGGAAGUGAAAGCCCCGGGCUCAACCUGGGAACUGCUUUCAAAACUGGCAAGCUAGAGUAUGGCAGAGGGUGGUGGAAUUUCCUGUGUAGCGGUGAAAUGCGUAGAUAUAGGAAGGAACACCAGUGGCGAAGGCGACCACCUGGGCUAAUACUGACACUGAGGUGCGAAAGC